This 460-nucleotide ribosomal RNA is filed under the name uncultured bacterium. Its description in RNAcentral is "partial 16S ribosomal RNA". It matches the Rfam family "Bacterial small subunit ribosomal RNA", at positions 338 to 795 of the family's 1533-position model. The record is from RNAcentral.
CCUACGGGAGGCAGCAGUGAGGAAUAUUGGUCAAUGGGCGGAAGCCUGAACCAGCCAAGUAGCGUGCAGGAUGACGGCCCUACGGGUUGUAAACUGCUUUUAUACGGGAAUAACGCGCCUUACGUGUAGGUCUUUGCAUGUACCGUAUGAAUAAGGACCGGCUAAUUCCGUGCCAGCAGCCGCGGUAAUACGGAAGGUCCGGGCGUUAUCCGGAUUUAUUGGGUUUAAAGGGAGCGUAGGCCGCUUUUCAAGCGUGCUGUGAAAUGUCCUGGCUCAACCCGGGCCUUGCCGCGGAAACUGGCGUGCUUGAGUCCGUGGAAGGCAGGCGGAAUUCGUCGUGUAGCGGUGAAAUGCUUAGAUAUGACGAAGAACCCCGAUUGCGAAGGCAGCUUGCUGCAGCGGAACUGACGCUGAUGCUCGAAAGCGCGGGUAUCGAACAGGAUUAGAUACCCUUGUAGUC